Molecule: ribosomal RNA, 383 nt
Filed under: Osmundea sp.
Lineage: Eukaryota; Rhodophyta; Florideophyceae; Ceramiales; Rhodomelaceae
Description: partial small subunit ribosomal RNA
Rfam family: Eukaryotic small subunit ribosomal RNA
Source: RNAcentral
AUUCCAGCUCUGUAAGCGUAUACCAAAGUUGUUGCAGUUAAAACGCUCGUAGUCGAACCUUGGCGUGAGUUACGGAGGCUCCUAAUGGACGUCGAAGUAACUCCGCCUUCGUGGAGGGGGGUGUGGUGUUACUUCAUUGUAUUGCCGCAUUUCCGCCACUGUUUACUGUGAAAAAAUUAGAGUGUUCAAAGCGAGCGUUUGCCAUGAAUACAUUAGCAUGGAAUAAUAGAAUAGGACCUGGUCCUGUUUUAUUGGUUUGUCUGUAUCAGGUAAUGAUUAACAGGGACGGUCGGGGGCAUUUGUAUUCCAGCGUUAGAGGUGAAAUUCUUGGAUCGCUGGAAGACAAACAGCUGCGAAAGCGUCUGCCAAGGACGUUUUCAUUA